UCUCUCUGUGUGUACAGGUGUGUUCUCUCUGUGUGUAACAGGUGUGUGUGUUCUCUCUGUGUGUAACAGGUGUGUGUGUGUUCUCUCUGUGUGUAACAGGUGUGUGUGUGUUCUCUCUGUGUGUAACAGGUGUGUGUGUUCUCUCUGUGUGUAACAGGUGUGUGUGUUCUCUCUGUGUGUAACAGGUGUGUGUGUUCUCUCUGUGUGUAACAGGUGUGUGUGUUCUCUCUGUGUGUAACAGGUGUGUGUGUUCUCUCUGUGUGUAACAGGUGUGUGUGUUCUCUCUGUGUGUAACAGGUGUGUGUGUUCUCUCUGUGUGUAACAGGUGUGUGUGUUCUCUCUGUGUGUACAGGUGUGUGUUCUCUCUGUGUGUAACAGGUGUGUUCUCUCUGUGUGUAACAGGUGUGUGUGUGUGUGUGUUCUCUCUGUGUGUAAUAGGUGUGUGUGUGUGUUCUCUCUGUGUGUACAGGUGUGUGUGUUCUCUCUGUGUGUACA
Molecule: long non-coding RNA, 495 nt
Organism: Oncorhynchus keta (chum salmon)
Lineage: Eukaryota; Metazoa; Chordata; Actinopteri; Salmoniformes; Salmonidae
Exons: 3
Source: RefSeq, a predicted model, not a curated record